CGAGCAGGUGCGAAAGCAGGUCAUAGUGAUCCGGUGGUUCUGAAUGGAAGGGCCAUCGCUCAACGGAUAAAAGGUACUCCGGGGAUAACAGGCUGAUACCGCCCAAGAGUUCAUAUCGACGGCGGUGUUUGGCACCUCGAUGUCGGCUCAUCACAUCCUGGGGCUGAAGUAGGUCCCAAGGGUAUGGCUGUUCGCCAUUUAAAGUGGUACGCGAGCUGGGUUUAGAACGUCGUGAGACAGUUCGGUCCCUAUCUGCCGUGGGCGCUGGAGAACUGAGGGGGGCUGCUCCUAGUACGAGAGGACCGGAGUGGACGCAUCACUGGUGUUCGGGUUGUCAUGCCAAUGGCACUGCCCGGUAGCUAAAUGCGGAAGAGAUAAGUGCUGAAAGCAUCUAAGCACGAAACUUGCCCCGAGA
This 415-nucleotide ribosomal RNA is filed under the name Salmonella enterica. RNAcentral describes it as "partial 23S ribosomal RNA". It matches the Rfam family "Bacterial large subunit ribosomal RNA", at positions 2390 to 2804 of the family's 2925-position model. The record is from RNAcentral. Lineage: Bacteria; Pseudomonadati; Pseudomonadota; Gammaproteobacteria; Enterobacterales; Enterobacteriaceae.